Canis lupus familiaris (dog) is the source of this 1456-nucleotide long non-coding RNA. RefSeq lists it as uncharacterized. The record is from RefSeq and is a predicted model, not a curated record. The transcript is spliced from 2 exons. NCBI's taxonomy places the organism in Eukaryota, Metazoa, Chordata, Mammalia, Carnivora, Canidae.
AUCCUUUUACUGUAAGUGCCGCCAUUUACUUCUGGACUCUGUUCAUUGGAUCCAUGGGACUGUCCUCAGUACCACACUCUCUCAGUUAGUGUGUAUGUUUUCCUUUUUCAUAGAGAGGUUUUAAAAUUUUGCUGAUCUGCCAGUCUUUUCUUUUGGGUCUCUUCUGCUGAAUUUAAGCCCAGAAAACACUUCUAAAUACAAAGCAGAGGGAAUAGGAAGAAUGGAGGUGCAGAGAUGCUGCCCCGAGCACCUACUGUAUCAAGAACAGGCUGCGGGCGUGACUUUGACACUCCUGGCGGCCAAAGAGAAAAAGGCUAUAAAGUUUUAUCUACCAGGAAGGAGAAAGCAAUUUUAGUUUGCUCAGAAGUUUUAUAUACAUGGUGAUACAUGUCCUAAAGAACAUAAUUAAGAUCAACCGUCCUCCAUGUCCUCCAUCAUCAUUUUCACCUUUUCUCUUCUUCAACUUUGGAUCAAAUGAAUUUGCUCCCUCCUCGUCACAGCCAGCAGAUUCCCUAUGAUUGGCUUCCGUCAAAGAUCCAGGGUCUGGUGCUGCUCCUGACACCUGUUCAGGGACUCAGGGACAUCUGUUUUGUAGUCUCUUGCUCCUGAUCAGCUGGUGAGGGGACAACCACCCCCCACACUGGCCGAGGUUUUUGUCUUGUCUGGAUUCAUGUGUUUUUCUGUAGAAACACAAGAUGUAACUGCAGUGGAUAAACACUCAUCGGCAUGAACUGGGCAACUGUAAUAAAUCAGGUACACUUUGGAAUGAGAUGUAAUGCACAGCUCGCAUCCCCUACAUGGGGAUGAAGACUCGGGAGAAACAGGCCGGUGAAAGCCCGUGAGUUCCAGGCAUGAGCAACCACCAUCUACUUCCUGUCUCUAUGAAUUUGACUGCUUCAGGGACGUCAUCUAAAUGGAAGUAUCCUAACUGUGCCUUUGGGGUCUGGUUAUUUUGCUUUGCACAAGUUCAUCCAUGUCAUAACAUGUGUCAAAAUUUCAUUAUCUUUUAAGUGUGAAUAAUAUUCCAUUGUAUGUAUAUGCCAUAUCUUGUUUAUCCAUUGAUAAAUUGUUGAUAGAUACUUGGGUUGUUCCCAUCUUUUUGCUAUUGUGAAUAAUGUUGCUAUAAAUAUUGAUAUACAGGAGUCCCUGUUUUUAAUUCUUUCAGUUAUAUAUUUAAAAGCAGUAUCACUGGAUCAUAUGAUAAUUCUAUGUUUUUAAUUUCUCUAUGUCCUCACCAACAGACUGAAGCAUCUUUAAGCAAAGGAUUUUUACACAUACAUAAUCUUUACAGCAUGAUAUCCUCAAUAGUUUUAUCCAAACUCUCAAUAGUUUAAAAAAAUAGCUCUCAGUGUUCAGGAUCUGAGCCCAAAUAAAACAUCUCCAAGAAAAGUUUAUCUGAUAAUUCAUGAUGGAAGACGGAAAACAUACUAAUAAAUGGCACUUUAUUUUGAAAAGA